GUGGUUGUAGCUUAGUGGUAGAGUGCUUGCCUACCACAUGAGAGGCACUGGGUUCAAUUCUUAGUAAAUAUA
Molecule: transfer RNA, 72 nt
Filed under: Ictidomys tridecemlineatus (thirteen-lined ground squirrel)
Lineage: Eukaryota; Metazoa; Chordata; Mammalia; Rodentia; Sciuridae
Description: Spermophilus tridecemlineatus (thirteen-lined ground squirrel) tRNA
Rfam family: tRNA
About the family: Transfer RNA (tRNA) molecules are approximately 80 nucleotides in length.
Source: Rfam by way of RNAcentral